GGUUCCAUAGUGUAGUGGUUAGCACAUCUGCUUUACAUGCAGUAAGUCCUGGGUUCGCGCCCUAGGAGGAGCCA
This 74-nucleotide transfer RNA is filed under the name Pteropus alecto (black flying fox). It matches the Rfam family "tRNA". Rfam says of the family: Transfer RNA (tRNA) molecules are approximately 80 nucleotides in length. Their secondary structure includes four short double-helical elements and three loops (D, anti-codon, and T loops). Further hydrogen bonds mediate the characteristic L-shaped molecular structure. tRNAs have two regions of fundamental functional importance: the anti-codon, which is responsible for specific mRNA codon recognition, and the 3' end, to which the tRNAs corresponding amino acid is attached (by aminoacyl-tRNA synthetases). tRNAs cope with the degeneracy of the genetic code in two manners: having more than one tRNA (with a specific anti-codon) for a particular amino acid; and 'wobble' base-pairing, i.e. permitting non-standard base-pairing at the 3rd anti-codon position. Lineage: Eukaryota; Metazoa; Chordata; Mammalia; Chiroptera; Pteropodidae. The record is from Rfam by way of RNAcentral.